UAUGUACUCCCUCCGUCCCUAAAUACUUGUCGGAGAGAUGGAUAAAAUUGGAUGUAUCAUUAAUUAGUAUAUGUCUAGAUACAUCCAUUUUUCUGACAAGUAUUUCCGGACGGAGGGAGUAUGAA
Non-coding RNA from Triticum aestivum (bread wheat), 125 nucleotides. Lineage: Eukaryota; Viridiplantae; Streptophyta; Magnoliopsida; Poales; Poaceae. The record is from Rfam.